UCUCCUUCCUCCUUCUGUCUAUUGCUGAGA
This 30-nucleotide non-coding RNA is filed under the name Homo sapiens (human). Lineage: Eukaryota; Metazoa; Chordata; Mammalia; Primates; Hominidae. The record is from RNAcentral.